AAAAAGAAAACAAUUAAACAUAAUAUAAAUUGUCGUUAUGUUAUACAAAUAAUUAAAUCAACAACAGAUAAUUAAAAUUACACAUCAAGGUCAGUCAGGCGGCUGAUUUAGUGGUCGCUUCCCCUUGCCACUGUAUGUUGGCUGACGCGGCCUUCCUUGGCCUCGGCCUCUACCUCCCUCAUUUAUUGUGACUGGGGGAGUGUCACUCGCGGAG
Molecule: long non-coding RNA, 214 nt
Filed under: Trifolium pratense (red clover)
Lineage: Eukaryota; Viridiplantae; Streptophyta; Magnoliopsida; Fabales; Fabaceae
Description: long non-coding RNA (TPRA_LNC013829)
Source: RNAcentral